UUACGGCCAUAUCACAUUGAAACACCUGUUCUUGUAUGAUCACCAAAGUUAAACAAUGUUAAGACUGGUCAGUACCUAAAUGGGUGACCACUUGAGAAUACCAAGUGCUGU
Non-coding RNA from Acanthosepion pharaonis, 111 nucleotides. Lineage: Eukaryota; Metazoa; Mollusca; Cephalopoda; Sepiida; Sepiidae. The record is from the annotation of a GenBank genome assembly.